Long non-coding RNA from Trichomycterus rosablanca, 301 nucleotides. RefSeq lists it as uncharacterized. The record is from RefSeq and is a predicted model, not a curated record. The transcript is spliced from 3 exons. NCBI's taxonomy places the organism in Eukaryota, Metazoa, Chordata, Actinopteri, Siluriformes, Trichomycteridae.
GGUCUGGCAUGGGCAGUUUUAAAGGCAUGUUGUGUCCCCUCAGGUCAGUUUGUUGGUUCAUACUCCCCGCGUUCCCCAUGUUUCAGCCGCUCCUCCUGAUACCUUCUUCUCUUCGACUUUAAACUCUCAGACUGACCUCCCACUUCAGGGCGUGAUAAAAACUGGUUGUUAUGGUAACCCUCUUCCGUUCUUGUAGUCAAAAGAUCCUGAAGAUCCAGGUGAACGAUGCCUUUUCUGUGGAUAAAACCGACGCCAUCUACAAUCUGCAGCAUGUAUUUGAUCACCUCCCUCUCAGUCAGCU